RNAcentral lists this long non-coding RNA (2294 nucleotides) under Nicotiana tabacum (common tobacco). Its description in RNAcentral is "long non-coding RNA (NTAB_LNC009843)". The record is from RNAcentral. Lineage: Eukaryota; Viridiplantae; Streptophyta; Magnoliopsida; Solanales; Solanaceae.
AGCAAUGCUUUUUCAAUUACACAGUAAUGUCAAUACUAAAUCUCUUAAGAAAGAGUUUCAACAGAGAUGAUUUUUCAAUAACAACGUUAUUUCUUUGAGCAUUUCAUACGGAUUGUUCCCUAUUUUGAUCUCGGUGUUACGUGUUCUGUCGCAAUUAAUUGGUGUUAGAGGGAUCGUCAAGAAAAUCAACUCAGGUAUGUUAAGGCUAUCUCUUCUUUCUUUUUACAUGAUCCAUACGAUACGAAUGAAACGUGCAAAUGCACAAAUUCUAUAAAUGACUCUCUUCAUAAAAAUACUAGAGAUGCUUAUGUUCUUGAUUCCCCAUGUGCCAGAUGAUUCAUGACUUUGUAGAUUGAAUGGUUUAUUAUGACAAUUGUCUAGCAAGUUUAAGUUUAAGCCGCGUAAUGGCAUCACACGAUAAAUGUGCUGAAUUUUGUUGAUAUAUUGAGUAGUGAAAGGCACUACAAAGGUAUGGGAAAAAUAGUUGUAGAUUGUCAAUUAUGUAGUAGUAAGUAUAGGGGGCUUAACCAUAUAUUAUGACAAGGCUCUUUUAUUAUGAUUCUCAAAUACAAGUGAACGAACAUGUGUUCACUUAACUAAAGGGUAAGAAAUAUUUUGGAUCCUUUGCUAUAGGGAAACACAACUUAUGGUUCUAAAUUUUUUGUGUUAAGGUUAAGUCCUGUGGUGUUUUUAAGGAGGCAAAAUGGAAACGUUUCACAAAUAAUAAGUACGCAAGUUGGAAUUGUCACAAACAAAGCUUAAAUCUGUAAUUUUUGUCAAGGAUAAAGGAAUCCUGAGAGCAUACACAGAAUAAUUAUACAAGUUUGAUAACGAGUUAUAGAGAAAAAUUUGUAUCCCGAAAUUUACGUAUAUUUUGCUAGUCUCGCAAAUUACAUAUAUUUUCGUAGUUUUGUAAGUUACCAUAUUCUUCUUAUCAGAACUACAUAUUCAGUUGAGUAUUUCCUUAUUCUGGUAAAAAAAGCAGAGAGUUUACAUAUAUAAAGUAUUAAAAGUAUUUUCAUUAUCAUCGAGCUAUAAUCGAUGAGCAGGUCCCUAUUGGGCAACCUCUAAUCAGAUGAUAAGUUAUAUAUCAAGCCUACUGUGGUUGAACACAAAUGAGUGAGUCUAGUUGGUCGAGAUACAGAGCCUAGUAUGGCCGAGCGCCUAUGAGCGAGUCCAACUGGUCGAGAUACAAAGCCUUGUAUGGUUGAGCGCCUGUGGACGAGCCUACUAUGGAAAAGCAGUUAUAUAUAUAUCGAGCCUACUAUGGUCGUGCGCUUAUGAGCGAGCCCAGUUGGUCGAAAUACAGAGCCUAGUAUGGCCAAGCGUCUAUGAGCGAGCCUACUAUGGCCGAGUAGUUAUAUAUAUAUACCGAGCCUACUGUGACCGAGUGCUUAUGAGCGAGCCCAGUUGGUCGAGAUACAGAUCCCUAGUAUGGGCCGAGCGCUAUGAGCGAGUCUAAUACGGCAGAGCGAGUUCUAUAUANNNNNNNNNNNNNNNNNNNNNNNNNAUACCAAACCUUAUAGGGUCGGACAACUAUUUUACUUACUAUAUUAAGAGAGUUGAGUCAGUAUCAGCAGGUAAGCAUAUCUUCAGAUAUUCUUUGACUUCCAGCUACUUGCAGUUAUUAUAUUAUCAGUUCAGUUUCAGCUUUCAGUAUAUUGCCUUACAUACUUAGUACAUUAUUUCAUACUGACGUCCCUUUUUUGGGGGCGCUACAUUUCAUGCGUGCAGGUUCAAACAGACAGACGGGUAGACCUCCUCAUCAAGUGUUUCCCGAGUUCAACUUGAUCGGUAAGCUCCAUGCCUUUUGGAGAUGCCGGGUCUAUAGCUUUAUGUAUAUCUUGUCUAUAUAUGUAUAUAUGUUAUGAGUAGGUCAAGGAGUUGUCCCGAUCACAAUAUGUCCAUCAGUAGAGGCUUGUAGACAUAUUCUGUCAGUUAGUUCAACAUGUUAGGCUUGUAGGCCUUGUAUGUAUAUUUGGUUGGUUUGUCAGCUGAAGUAAUGAUGACGGCCUUGUCGGCCUAGCUUUAUAUUGAUAUUUAGUCAGCAUUUGCAGUUGUCUUGCAAUGUGGCCCAUGGCCAAAGUAUGACAUUAUAUACUCAAUAAACUUUAGUCACAAGUUGGUACGAUGGUGAGGCACCGGGUGCCGGUCUGACUCCCAAGGGCGUGACAAAAGUAGUAUCAGAGUAGUUCUGUCCUAAGGAGUCCACAAGUCGUGUCUAGUAGAGUCUUAUUUAUGGGUGUGUCUGUGAUGACCCAAAAUAUCAUCUUUAAAUUAAAUAAUCAUCUCGG